GGGACACGUGGUAUCCUGUCUGAAUAUGGGGGGACCAUCCUCCAAGGCUAAAUACUCCUGACUGACCGAUAGUGAACCAGUACCGUGAGGGAAAGGCGAAAAGAACCCCGGCGAGGGGAGUGAAAAAGAACCUGAAACCGUGUACGUACAAGCAGUGGGAGCCUCUUAAUGGGGUGACUGCGUACCUUUUGUAUAAUGGGUCAGCGACUUAUAUUCUGUAGCAAGGUUAACCGAAUAGGGGAGCCGAAGGGAAACCGAGUCUUAACUGGGCGUUAAGUUGCAGGGUAUAGACCCGAAACCCGGUGAUCUAGCCAUGGGCAGGUUGAAGGUUGGGUAACACUAACUGGAGGACCGAACCGACUAAUGUUGAAAAAUUAGCGGAUGACUUGUGGCUGGGGGUGAAAGGCCAAUCAAACCGGGAGAUAGCUGGUUCUCCCCGAAAGCUAUUUAGGUAGCGCCUCGUGAAUUCAUCUCCGGGGGUAGAGCACUGUUUCGGCAAGGGGGUCAUCCCGACUUACCAACCCGAUGCAAACUGCGAAUACCGGAGAAUGUUAUCACGGGAGACACACGGCGGGUGCUAACGUCCGUCGUGAAGAGGGAAACAACCCAGACCGCCAGCUAAGGUCCCAAAGUCAUGGUUAAGUGGGAAACGAUGUGGGAAGGCCCAGACAGCCAGGAUGUUGGCUUAGAAGCAGCCAUCAUUUAAAGAAAGCGUAAUAGCUCACUGGUCGAGUCGGCCUGCGCGGAAGAUGUAACGGGGCUAAACCAUGCACCGAAGCUGCGGCAGCGACGCUUAUGCGUUGUUGGGUAGGGGAGCGUUCUGUAAG
This 827-nucleotide ribosomal RNA is filed under the name Escherichia coli. Its description in RNAcentral is "partial 23S ribosomal RNA". It matches the Rfam family "Bacterial large subunit ribosomal RNA", at positions 419 to 1247 of the family's 2925-position model. The record is from RNAcentral. Lineage: Bacteria; Pseudomonadati; Pseudomonadota; Gammaproteobacteria; Enterobacterales; Enterobacteriaceae.